GCCGCAUGCAGGUAAACGGGUGGCGUCAAGCUGCGAGCCCGGAGGAUUCAGCUGGCUGGGAUGUAGUGUACGCACGCCUGGUGCGUCGAAAGGCCGGAAUAAGAUGUUUCUGUGGCGGUCCACUCUUCUGCUGGGAGUGGAGUGCGAUCGGUGUGCGCUUGCGUGCGCCGGUUGUCGCUAUGUUUGCCGGGUGGGUGCCGGAACAUGCCGCUCGUCUGUUGGGCCACCUAGUCAGUGCAUUUUCUCCGUGGUGAACACCACGACCGGUGGAACUGCCAGUCUGCUGUGGUCAAGUCGUGUCCUCCUGGCGCGUUACUGUGCUCGGUGGGCACGAUCGCAGGCGGAGUCGGUGAGCGGCGCAGUGGUGCUUCGGUACUGCCGCGUGUUAUCGUGCACUCUCCGUUGUAAGCGGUUAGUGGGGUUGACUGAGUGCUGUGACUACUUCCCCAUUAGCCGGCGGAUCGCAGUGGUGAAAGGGACUGUGCAGGGCACCGGAGUUGUCCACCUCAUUCAAUAUGGUACUCGGCACGCACGUUACAGGUGCAAUAGGAGAUGCGCCGCUGUUUGCCUGGUGUUGGGCCUGGCUGUCGUGUUGCCUGCGCAAAGUUGGUCCGGCAGUGGUUUCGAUGCUUGGUAGUCGCAGUGUGUUGCGUGUCUCGGGUGUCUGUGGUACCGGGGGUGAAAUAGUCAGUGGUGCUGUGGUAGACGAGCUACCCGACCCGUCUUGAAACACGGACCAAGGAGUUUAACAUGUGUGCGAGUCAAAGGGUCCUACGAAACCCCUAGGCGCAGUGAAAGUGAAGUUCACGCUGCAUUUCUGCACAUACGCAGUGCAGUGUGGCGAGGUGAGAUCUCGUUGUGCUCAUGACACACGCCGCAGACCUUACUGGGCAUUACUGGGGCAACGAGCGCAUCACCGGCCCGUCCCAUGAUGUGGUCACAGGUCCACUUGUGCGUGGAGUGGCAACACGAAGCGUACAAAGCCUGUGCGUCAUCGGGGCGGAGCAUGAGCACACACGUUGAGACCCGAAAGAUGGUGAACUAUGCUUGCGUAGGUUGAAGCCAGAGGAAACUCUGGUGGAGGACCGUAGCGAUUCUGACGUGCAAAUCGAUCGUCAAACGUG
Molecule: ribosomal RNA, 1124 nt
Filed under: Vaucherilepis trichophorus
Lineage: Eukaryota; Metazoa; Platyhelminthes; Cestoda; Cyclophyllidea; Hymenolepididae
Description: partial large subunit ribosomal RNA
Rfam family: Eukaryotic large subunit ribosomal RNA (bases 565-1124)
Source: RNAcentral